Sapajus apella (tufted capuchin) is the source of this 1206-nucleotide long non-coding RNA. RefSeq lists it as uncharacterized. NCBI's taxonomy places the organism in Eukaryota, Metazoa, Chordata, Mammalia, Primates, Cebidae. The transcript is spliced from 4 exons. The record is from RefSeq and is a predicted model, not a curated record.
CACGGCGGGGCGCUGGAGAGCACGGAACAAGUGCUUAAAUGAGAGUGAAUAGAUGAACAUCUUACGCACUUAUCCCUUUUACUUCUGCUUUUUUCUCUUUGGGCCACUAACCUGUGGAAAAAAAAAACCCUAAUGUUUCUUCCUCCUUCUGUGAUCUUCCUUCUUUCUGUUUUGAGCAGCUUCUUGGUCUGUGUCCUCUGCGGAUGACCGGCACAAAGCUCUCCGCCAAAGCCUGCUUUCUCCCUCAUGGUGGAGAGGGAGCUGUGUGACUGGCCCAGUGCCGCAGCCAUCCACCCUCUGCGGAUCAGUUGUUCCUUCCUUGGCUCCCAGAGGAAUCCUCCCUCCUCCCACAAACAACUCCAGAGCCCAAGACGGUAAGCUCCAUGAAAGUGGAAUUUUUGUCUGUUCGUUCACAGCUGUAUCUCUAGUGCCCUGGGGAGAGCUUCGUGCAUCGCGGUGCACAGGCUGCAUUUGUGGAAUGAAGAAUGGAGAGCCCUGGGCUCGUCGUUCAGGGCCAGUCUCUGACUUGAUGACCAUCCUCCCGGAACUCUCCUCUCUCUUGGGAAGUGAAUUCUGAACAGAGACGCACUCCCUGCAGCUGGCAGCCUGUCCGAUUACAGAGUGACAUGCACAAGACAGACACUCGGGCAUGUCAGCCCUGGAAGUAGCCACCUGGCACUUCAUCCCAGCCAACCAAGGAAGCUCCUGUCCUGCCAUGUCUUUCCAUGAAAUGUCCCUUUACCUCUGGCAGCUGCCACUGCCCCAUGCUUGGGCCUUUCCCACUCCAGGUAAGACCUGCACGCCACCCUCACACAGUUCCUUCCCAGAACACCAGGUCAACCAUGCCACUCUUGCUCAAAAACUUUUAAGGACAACCUCAUUAUUAAAGGAGUGGAUUUUGUGGCUAAAAUGCAAGUCUCCUAACAUGGCAUGAAAGGCCUUUCCAGUCUAGCCCUAUCUUACUGCUGUCUCCUAAUUCCUGCUAACCUUCAGCUGCAGGCACAGCCAAGUCCUGCUGUUGUUGCUCUGGUAAGUCUAGCGUGUGUCUCUUGCAUUUCCACCCAUGUAUCUGCUCAUGUUGGUUUCUUCUUCCAUUCCGUGCCCUGAAAAGCCCACUUCCUUCUUUGUAAACUCUUAACAAAACAAAACAAAACAACUAGUUGGGCAUGGUCACUCACGUCUGUAAUCCCAGAACUUUGGGAGGUU